RNAcentral lists this ribosomal RNA (515 nucleotides) under uncultured bacterium. Its description in RNAcentral is "partial 16S ribosomal RNA". It matches the Rfam family "Bacterial small subunit ribosomal RNA", at positions 28 to 523 of the family's 1533-position model. The record is from RNAcentral.
GAUGAACGCUGGCGGCGUGCCUAAUACAUGCAAGUCGAGCGAAUGGAUUAAGAGCUUGCUCUUAUGAAGUUAGCGGCGGACGGGUGAGUAACACGUGGGUAACCUGCCCAUAAGACUAGGAUAACUCCGGGAAACCGGGGCUAAUACCGGAUAACAUUUUGAACCGCAUGGUUCGAAAUCGAAAGGCGGCUUCGGCUGUCACUUAUGGAUGGACCCGCGUCGCAUUAGCUAGUUGGUGAGGUAACGGCUCACCAAGGCAACGAUGCGUAGCCGACCUGAGAGGGUGAUCGGCCACACUGGGACUGAGACACGGCCCAGACUCCUACGGGAGGCAGCAGUAGGGAAUCUUCCGCAAUGGACGAAAGUCUGACGGAGCAACGCCGCGUGAGUGAUGAAGGCUUUCGGGUCGUAAAACUCUGUUGUUAGGGAAGAACAAGUGCUAGUUGAGUAAGCUGGCACCUUGACGGUACCUAACCAGAAAGCCACGGCUAACUACGUGCCAGCCGCCGCAGUAA